GAUGAACGCUGGCGGCGUGCCUAAUACAUGCAAGUCGAGCGAACGGACGAGAAGCUUGCUUCUCUGAUGUUAGCGGCGGACGGGUGAUUAACACGUGGAUAACCUACCUAUAAGACUGGGAUAACUUCGGGAAACCGGAGCUAAUACCGGAUAAUAUUUUGAACCGCAUGGUUCAAAAGUGAAAGACGGUCUUGCUUUCACUUAUAGAUGGAUCCGCGCUGCAUUAGCUAGUUGGUAAGGUAACGGCUUACCAAGGCAACGAUGCAUAGCCGACCUGAGAGGGUGAUCGGCCACACUGGAACUGAGACACGGUCCAGACUCCUACGGGAGGCAGCAGUAGGGAAUCUUCCGCAAUGGGCGAAAGCCUGACGGAGCAACGCCGCGUGAGUGAUGAAGGUCUUCUGAUCGUAAAACUCUGUUAUUAGGGAAGAACAUAUGUGUAAGUAACUGUGCACAUCUUGACGGUACCUAAUCAGAAAGCCACGGCUAACUACGUG
RNAcentral lists this ribosomal RNA (497 nucleotides) under uncultured bacterium. RNAcentral describes it as "partial 16S ribosomal RNA". It matches the Rfam family "Bacterial small subunit ribosomal RNA", at positions 28 to 507 of the family's 1533-position model. The record is from RNAcentral.